This 373-nucleotide ribosomal RNA is filed under the name uncultured bacterium. RNAcentral describes it as "bacterial SSU rRNA". It matches the Rfam family "Bacterial small subunit ribosomal RNA", at positions 28 to 402 of the family's 1533-position model. The record is from RNAcentral.
GACGAACGCUGGCGGCGUGCUUAACACAUGCAAGUCGAGCGGUAAGGCCCUUUCGGGGGUACACGAGCGGCGAACGGGUGAGUAACACGUGGGUGACCUGCCCUUAGCUCUGGGAUAAGCCUGGGAAACUGGGUCUAAUACCGGAUAUGACUCCAUGACGCAUGUUGUGGGGUGGAAAGCCUUGUGCGGCUAGGGAUGGGCCCGCGGCCUAUCAGCUUGUUGGUGGGGUGAUGGCCACCAAGGCGACGACGGGUAGCCGGCCUGAGAGGGCGACCGGCCACACUGGGACUGAGACACGGCCCAGACUCCUACGGGAGGCAGCAGUAGGGGAAUCUUGCGCAAUGGGCGAAAGCCUGACGCAGCGACGCCGCGU